Molecule: ribosomal RNA, 467 nt
Filed under: uncultured bacterium
Lineage: Bacteria
Description: partial 16S ribosomal RNA
Rfam family: Bacterial small subunit ribosomal RNA
Source: RNAcentral
GACGAACGCUGGCGGCGUGCUUAACACAUGCAAGUCGAACGGAAAGGCCCUGCUUUUGUGGGGUGCUCGAGUGGCGAACGGGUGAGUAACACGUGAGUAACCUGCCCUUGACUUUGGGAUAACUUCAGGAAACUGGGGCUAAUACCGGAUAGGAGCUCCUGCUGCAUGGUGGGGGUUGGAAAGUUUCGGCGGUUGGGGAUGGACUCGCGGCUUAUCAGCUUGUUGGUGGGGUAGUGGCUUACCAAGGCUUUGACGGGUAGCCGGCCUGAGAGGGUGACCGGCCACAUGGGGACGGAGGUGCGGCCCGGACUCCUCCGGGAGGCAGCAGUGGGGAAUAUUGCACAAUGGGCGGAGGCCGGAUGCAGCAACGCCGCGUGCGGGAUGACGGCCUUCGGGUUGUAAACCGCUUGCGCCUGUGACGAAGCGUGAGUGACGGUAAUGGGUAAAGAAGCACCGGCUAACUCCGU